Molecule: non-coding RNA, 71 nt
Organism: Dipodomys ordii (Ord's kangaroo rat)
Lineage: Eukaryota; Metazoa; Chordata; Mammalia; Rodentia; Heteromyidae
Source: Rfam
GGCGCUGUAGCUUAAGUGGUAGAGCACUCGCCUUGCAUGCAGGAGGCCCUGGGUUCGAUUCCUCAGCACCA